AUUGAACGCUGGCGGCAGGCCUAACACAUGCAAGUCGAGCGGAUGAAGGGAGCUUGCUCCUGGAUUCAGCGGCGGACGGGUGAGUAAUGCCUAGGAAUCUGCCUGGUAGUGGGGGAUAACGUCCGGAAACGGGUGCUAAUACCGCAUACGUCCUGAGGGAGAAAGUGGGGGAUCUUCGGACCUCACGCUAUCAGAUGAGCCUAGGUCGGAUUAGCUAGUUGGUGGGGUAAAGGCCUACCAAGGCGACGAUCCGUAACUGGUCUGAGAGGAUGAUCAGUCACACUGGAACUGAGACACGGUCCAGACUCCUACGGGAGGCAGCAUUGGGGAAUAUUGGACAAUGGGCGAAAGCCUGAUCCAGCCAUGCCGCGUGUGUGAAGAAGGUCUUCGGAUUGUAAAGCACUUUAAGUUGGGAGGAAGGGCAGUAAGUUAAUACCUUGCUGUUUUGACGUUACCAACAGAAUAAGCACCGGCUAACUUCGUG
Molecule: ribosomal RNA, 484 nt
Filed under: uncultured bacterium
Lineage: Bacteria
Description: partial 16S ribosomal RNA
Rfam family: Bacterial small subunit ribosomal RNA
Source: RNAcentral